This 440-nucleotide ribosomal RNA is filed under the name uncultured bacterium. Its description in RNAcentral is "partial 16S ribosomal RNA". It matches the Rfam family "Bacterial small subunit ribosomal RNA", at positions 338 to 795 of the family's 1533-position model. The record is from RNAcentral.
CCUACGGGAGGCAGCAGUGGGGAAUAUUGCACAAUGGGGGAAACCCUGAUGCAGCGACGCCGCGUGAAGGAAGAAGUAUUUCGGUAUGUAAACUUCUAUCAGCAGGGAAGAAAAUGACGGUACCUGACUAAGAAGCCCCGGCUAACUACGUGCCAGCAGCCGCGGUAAUACGUAGGGGGCAAGCGUUAUCCGGAUUUACUGGGUGUAAAGGGAGCGUAGGCGGCGAUGCAAGUCAGAAGUGAAAGCCCGGGGCUCAACUCCGGGACUGCUUUUGAAACGGUAUGGCUAGAUUGCAGGAGAGGCAAGUGGAAUUCCUAGUGUAGCGGGGAAAUGCGGAGAGAUUAGGAGGAACAUCAGGGGCGAAGGCGACUAUCUGGACAGCAACUGACACUGAGGCACGAAAGCGUGGGGAGCAAACAGGAUUAGAUACCCUUGUAGUC